This is an RNA transcript of Triticum aestivum (bread wheat), 9616 nucleotides long. RefSeq lists it as uncharacterized. The record is from RefSeq and is a predicted model, not a curated record. Lineage: Eukaryota; Viridiplantae; Streptophyta; Magnoliopsida; Poales; Poaceae. The transcript has 5 exons.
GUCCUCUUCUCUGCCCGCGGCGGCCCCGCUCCCCCUUCGACCUAGAAACUCCUGUGGCGGCAGGCGAGCGAGCAGAGAGAGAUGAGCGCCGCUGCUCCUGCAGUCCCGCCUCCCCUCCCAGCUUCUUACUCUGCCUCAAUCUGCUGGCGGGGAAUUUAGGAUUCCAGCGAGCAGGGGCUCAUCGGUGAUCCUUCGGCGCGCGGCUGCGACGGAGAUGGACUCCCCGGGUGUCCAUGGCGGAUGGCGGCGGCGACAACUCGGCUCUACGAGAGCGACUCGGAGGAUUUGGAAGGAGAGAUGGAUCCAAGCACUCUACGCAAUGAUGGGAUGAUUGCUCUUUCAACAUAUUCUAUUAGCGAGGAUGGCAAGUGAAAGUGGGAGCAACUGGAUCACUAUUCCUAUCAUGCAUUGUAGACAUGAUGCAUUGGACAUAUGUCUGACAAAUUGUCCUUGGAUGAGGAAAUUCCAAUUAUCUUGCUGUGGUGUGCUGCUCUCUUUUGGCACUCAUUUUAUAUCAUUACAACUGUUCAAACAACAUGGAGGGUCGGUAAGGACGUCGUGGAUGUUGUAAGUUUGCUUGUCCUUGUAUGCCUUGCUUUCCCAUUUAGUAUGUAUAUCACUUUAUUCAAUUAAGAAAGGCAUUUUAGACCCUCACGAUAAGAAGUCGUCUCAAGAAGAGUGGCGUCAGAAUAACCAUAGCGGUCAAUAGGCGGAAGCGGGCGAGCGCAAAAGCCAUAGUAGGUUGAGCUGGAGGCGGUGCAUUGCCAACAGAAGGUGGCAUGGUAGUCGAGGGAGAUGGUGCAUUAGAAGAAUCUACAACACGCGGACCACCAAUGUGGUAAAGAAGAGGGGAAGGGGGGGGGGGAGGUGUAUCGCUGGAGAAGCCUUAGGGGACAAGCGAGGUGAGGCAGCCUCAGGUAACGAAUGAGGUGGGGAAGUCGUAGGUGACGACAACAUGGGGUUUACUAUAAUAGUAUGGAAGAUACGGUGGGAUGGGUGGACGAGGACAAAACAUGAUUGAUAGGUGUAUCGGGAAAAGUAAGGAAAGAAAUAUCCUCAAUAGGAGGAUGGACGUGGAUAGGAAGGAUGAAACUCAUCAAAAGUCACAUCCCGAGAAAUGCGCAUCCGCCGAGCGAUUUGAUCCCAACACUGAUGUGCUCAUCACUUCAACCGUAGGGGGGCACAUUCAAUAGAUUGAGGAGUCUAUUUGGUGUGUUGGGUGGGGUAGGGGGGCAAGAAGAACAUAGCAAACGUAACGAAACAAACGAAGUGCUGAACAAUCACGAGAACGACCAAAAAGACGCUUGAGAGAAAUUACACCCCACAGAUGGCUGAAUCUUGAUGAGAUAGGUGGAAGUAGAGCAGCGUCAACCGAUAAGUAACAUGGAAGAGAGCCGACGAUCAUCAACGCAUGAACCGCCUCAAGAAGGUGACGAUGCUUGCGCUCAUCAACACCAUUCUGAGCAUGAGCACGUGGACAAGAGAACUGAGCAAGUGUGCCAUACUCAGCAAAGAAUCCACGCAGCAAAUGAGAGAUAUACUAACGAGCAGAAUCUGCCCGGAAGACAUGGGCAGGAGUGGAAAACUUAGUAUGAACCAUGGUGGCAAAUUUCUUUGGGCCAGUGCUUUUGCCAACUUUUUUGGGCUUCCAGAAUAAGCUGCCCCUUCCCAGCUUAUUAUAGAAACCCAACCAAAUUAUUUUUUAGAAGCCUAUAGAAACUCAACCAAAUUUAUUUUGUUGGUUUCUAGAAUAAGCUAGGUAGGGCGCAGCUUAUUCCAGCUAUUUCUAGAAGCCACCAAAAGAACUGUGUGUCAAGAGAAAUGAUCUAUGGAUAAUAUAGUAGUGAUGGCCUCCUUUCGAAAGGACGUUGAGACACCGUCUCGCUAUGAGGAUAGAGUAAUUGAACUUGUUUACCAAGCCGACAAACCUGAUAGUCUAAAAACACAAUGCUAAAGAAUUAAAGAUGGAUCCAAGAAGACCAUGUCGAACUAGGGAUGAGGGACGAGAGCCACACAAGUGACCGAGACGAUGAUGCCAUAAAGAGUCGGUAGUUAAGGUAAAAGGGGUGAAGAGAUUGAUGGCGGUGGCAGAGGGAAGGUGAAGCCUGUCAAGCUCCUGGAGGCCCUAGGAGUUACAAUGCCGAGGGCAAGCACCAAGUAGAGCACCUGUGUGACGAUCCUAAUCCAAACAAGAGUCAAAGUCAAGAAUGACUACAACUAGAGUCGACAAUCUGAUCACUUGAAAUGAGCUACAUGGCAAGUCAGGAAACUUGAGCACAAGGAGCAUGAAAAGAAAAGGUGCUAAGAUUGUCUCGACGAUCGAUUGGGAGGGAAGUACCAUCAGCAGUAAGAACAUGAAUAGGAGAAUCUAGAGGUUUGAAUGGAGGACAAACUAGAAGAAUCAUGAGUCAUAUGAAAAGACGCUACACUAUCAAGGAUCCAUGGAAAAUUUAGCUGACUGACUUUGUAAAAAGUGGUCUCAAUAUUGAAAGAAUCAACAACAAAACUGUUGAUGGAGAACUAAAAGAAGCAUCUAGCAGACACUGAAGUCUCGUAAUCCCCAGCGUAGUCAGGGGUUCAACGGAAGCAGUAGGUAGGUGUCGAAGUCGUGCAAUCUCUUGCGCGGUGAAGGACACCGUUGAAGUGGCCGACGUUGAAUCACCGGAAGAGAAGUGUCCACCACCACCCGUGUAAGCCGCUAGAGGAGGCGGUGUAGCACGACAAGCACCAAGCGCUAAGGGAAGGCGCAUGUGCGAUGUAGUCGAUGGAGUGAUGUGCACCAAAGCUACUGAUGAAAGCCGCGAGGGGAGUCUGUGUAGAGCAACCAUCACCGUCAACAUAGGUCACGAGAGGCGACACUAUGGAGCCACCACCACAGCCUGCGGAAGGCACCGGGUGGGAGCAACAUCAUAUGUGGAGGAGCAUCAAGAGGUUAACCAUGUCCAAUGAAGUCAACACACAUGUUUUUUGUUCCUUUACUCUUCUACAAAACUAGGUUUGCUUACAAAAAAAGGGAGCAAAAGAGCAAGGAAGAGCAGCGAAUAGGGCACAUGAGGUAGGGGCAAAGCUAGUCAGCGGGCUAUCGGGUCUGAGGUCUAGUGGCGAAGUCUGUCGUUGAGGUCCUGCGUGUAGCAAGAGGGAGCCGAUACCGUGACCUGCAACAAAGGACGUCUCGACGAUUGUGGUUUGCACCAACUAGUUUGAGUUUGCGACAAUGCGUGGCCUCUUGUAGUGGCAGGGCGCCGGUGAGGCGCUGACCUUCUGUACAUGGCGAUGAGGCGCGACCUCCUGAAGAUGUAGGAUAGAUAGCCUAUGGUGCGAGCACGACGGAGGUGGAGGGGCGAGCCUGAUGGAGGCGGAGGUACGGAGAUCGGAAGGGCAUGAUGGGAGGGGGGACGGGUGGGGAUUUAUUGGGGCGUGAGAGGCCUGGACAAGGAAGGGGAGUGAUCCUGAUCUGGAGGCAGCGAAGCGAUGACGAUAGUCGUUGGGAUAGACACCGACGCGGGUCGGGGAGGUGUGGUUGCACAUGAGCUUAGCCUGAGAAAAAUUGAUCAAAAACUUGGGAUCGAUUUGGAGAGGAACACGAGUUGUGUGUGAGGAAGAAAACCUAGGCUCUAAUACCAUGUUAGGAAUAUGCAACUUGUAUUCACAGGCGGACAUAGACUAUAGAAGUACAUGUGUGCUGCAAUAUGCAGAAAGCCCCUUGUUUAAUGGGGAAAAUACAAAGGGUACACAACUAUAAUAUAUUACUCCAACAUGUUGAACACUGGCAUUGUCUUCCUUCCAAAUGGUCUAGAAUGCAAGCAACACUGCUGACUCGAGUUCGUAGUGCACCGAAGGUGGCAUUGUCUCCCGACAGCUAAUCCACCAGUUGGAAAGGGAAAUGCCGCCCCCUGGGGGCAUUGGUGAUGUUGAAGAGGCGAAUACCAAUUCUAGAUUGCUGUCGAGAAGGAGCAGCUGGUGAACAGGUGUUGAGAAGUCUUUGGGGCACUGAAGCAGAUGGUGUAGGCAACGUGGAUGUCCAUACUGUGGCGAUGACGACGGUAAGUAGACCAUAAACGGUACUCCAGAUAUGUGCCAACCACAUGGCUGCAACCGCAAUCCGAAGCCGAGCUUCAUCAUGGUGUCGUUGUCUCUAUAGGUUGUCGAUCGUUGAUGACCCAAGCGUUGUGUUCCUUCUAGAUUGUGAGCCCAUGAAGAACACACGAUACACGAAGUACUUGGAUGAUGUAUGUUUGCUUCCAAAGCGGGUGAUCUUCCUCCUCCUUGAGUACCAAGAUUGAUUGGAGAGCCCACGUGCGAGGCUCGUUGGGCGGUGCUGAUUAAGGUUAAGGCUCCCUUCAGUCGUCCUGCUUUUUACACCGCCAUGCAGGUGGCUUGGGCAAUGCAAAGGACGUUUAAUUCAUACCACUUCUUAUUACACUUUUACGACGGAGUUCAAGUGUUUUUGGGAUUGGAAUCACAACCAUGCAUAGGGGUCCUUGGCUCUUUAGGCACCAUGCUAUGGUAAUUGAGGAGUAUACUGGAAUAUGUCACCCUUAUAACUCCGCACGUGUUUGGGCUCAGAUCAUGGGUCGAUCGGACUUGCUGCAUAACAGAGUAGUGGCUAAAGCAAUGGCUUCCAAGACAAGAGAAGUGUUAGAUGUGGAGCUUGGGCUAAAUGGCGUUGAAUAUGAAAGUUUGUUUGAGUGUACGUCAAGAUCAAAUUGGAGAAGCCCCCUUUGAGGUUCUUAGGGAAUGUUGAGCUAGGUAAACUGCCCAAUUGUUCCGUGUGCUAUAUGAGAAGAUGUCGCAUUUUUGCGCAAAUUACGAUAAGAUUGGCAAUGUUACAGAACAAUGCGGGGAUGGGGUUCAUGAUCCAAAGAAGUUUCAGUUUAGCGAUUCUAUGAUGAUGAGUUCAUUGCUCAACCUCGUGGUAGCACUACUUGUGGAAGAGGCAGUAGAGGCCAAGGUGGUCAUGGAGGGUAAGUUGGGCAUGACUCGACCGAUGUAUAAGGAGAAAGAUUAUUUUCACCCUACGAAUGGAAAUACCAGUACAUGCAAUGUCAAUGCAAACAAUGUGAAUGCAAACGGAGUGAUUGCAGGCAACCGUGCGCCGGCCAAGGACCCUCCCUUGGCGCCAGGUGGAAGGAAAGUGUCAGGUCUUAUAAAAUACCAUGAGGGGAAAACUGGGGCGAGCAACUCGGCUCAGGGCACCUCUUUGCAAGUUCAAGCAAAGAAAUGGUAGAGGAUGGCGGGUGUGCCGUCCCAAUAGUGUUUUCAUCGCUUCCUUGUACCUCCCUUAUACUCUUCGUUUCCCGCUAAUCUGGCUUGUCGUCCUUGCCUUGUUUGCGGGUUGUGUGACACGUACUUGAUUCAACAUUCCACGUUCCCUUGUUGGGCGUCCCUGGCCUUGGCGACAGGUAGUGGCGUGCUCUUGGGCACUCUGCGUCCUUGCGUAAGACGGAGACGGUGCCGACUGCCCGUGCUCUUGCUCCAUCGUUGGUGGUGCUUGAGCUAGCGGCUAUGGCGACAACCUGCAUGGGAGCACGGGAUGUAGGAGCAGGGCAGCGCACAAAACAACUCGUAGACAGGAAAAGGAUGCCCAAUUUGACUAGCAGGCAGUGGAGAGUACACGGGAGGUGUGGGGGAAGGGGUGAAAAAGCUGUUGGGAGCGGACUGCCUCCGCCGUCAUCCACCUUGUUGGACCCAGAGCCGAGGGGCCAGGGGAUGACGAUAGGGGAAGCGAGGAAGAGGGAAGACAUAAGAGGUUUCCGGGAGGAGAGAGGCAUCAUCCACCACCCUACGCGUGUGCGUCAACCGUGGCAGUGGGUAGAUCCGGUGUCUACAUGUGAAUCUACUACUCGGGAUGGCAUGACGUGGCUGUUGUGGAGUGAGGUGCCACAACUAUUGUGCUGAGUGGGUUUGUUUGGUUGUUGGGGUUGUCGGCAGUAGGGCAUUUCUGCCGUGUGGCUCGCGUGCGAGUGAAAUCAUUGGAGCGGCAAUACUGGAUCUGGGGGAGUGUGUUCGGUGCAAUUGCUGCAUUUGCUGUGCUGUAGAUGAGGCUAUGAUGCUUGUGUGGUUUUUGUGCUACUUUUCCUUGUAAAUUGGCCUGCUUUGUUUGGUUGUCGAUCCAAUUUCCCUUACAAAAUGAAGCACUAAAAUCCUCAAGCUCAUGGUGGAUCAACAACAUUGAGUUUGGAGAGAUAGAAGUUGUGUGGUGCUCUAGUCCGGGCCUUUGUUAAGAAAUCGGUCAACUAUAAAUCGGAAGCACAUACUGAAGAGCAAUAAUUUGAUCUUGCACACUAGAGCACAUGAAGGGAGCAUCAACACCAAUAUGCUUGGUGAGCUCAUGCUUGAAAAGGCCGCACGCGAUACUUGUAGCACUUAUACUAUCUGAUAAGAGAGUAGUAGGUGUAGUGAUUGAAGCACAAAAUCCUCGAGCAACCAUCAAAGCCUGUCAAAAUAGCCGUAGCUCGCAACUUAGCCUCUACACUCGAACAAGAAAGUGUAGUCUGUUUCUUCAUCUUCCGGACAAUGAGAAACCACCAAGAAAAAUAUUAAGCGGAAAGGGGUGACGAAUUUGAGCGUGGGAAGAAGAGACAGUGAGAGAGUCUCAUGAAGAUCCAGGCAAUGAGAAAACCACGAAAACAUAGUAAGCAGAAAGGGAUCAAUGAACUUGAGCAUGGGAAGAAGAGACGGCGAGAGUCCCAUGAAGAUAUUGUAGAACACAGAUGUGGUGACUAUAGUGGAUCAAAGUGGGAGUAGAGACAAACUGACUGGAUGUGGUGACUAUGAACGGGAUAUGAAAUGUUGGAUGAGUGAUUUAAAUAGACAAGACUCCCAACAAGAUGACGGUUGGUGGGGCUAGGAGGGGAGGUUACCGGUACUGUCGAUGAAGCUCUGAGGAGGUGGCGCAUGACUUGGUGUUCAAAAUGGUUCCCUCAGUCACAGACUUUAGACUAGGGCUUUUUACAGUUUGAAUGUGGUCGACCUAGAGGUCUACCAUCUCUUGGAACGCUGCUGCUUCGAAGACUGACUUAAGAGCCCUGGAGUUGAUCGUGCUGGAAUUGGUCUUCGGGCUUUGUACUCGGUACAGUCGGUCGAAGAUUGGAUGCCAGGAGUGCCACUCACUCUCAUUCUAGAAGGAAAAGUCAUUUCGUCACGCGGUAGAAAUCCCCAUAUUCACAUGGGCUUCUAUGACGAACCUCGGUGUUCAUUCUCCAUAAAUUUGUGGUAUCCUUCAAUUCUGUUCCUCCCGGGCUAGCAAAUCCGAUGUCUAAGCGCCGGCGAAGCUGCCAUCUUGAUGAGGCUGGUAGCUGAACCUGCUUUGCAGUUGCUUUGCCUGCUAUUUGCCACCCGUUCUUCAACUUUCUCUGUGCCGCUCAACACCGGCGUGCCUCAAUUCCCCCACAAUUUUCACCUCCUUUUCCUUGCCGUUACCAAAGCCGGAUGGAUGAAGUGGCGCCAAGCUUCUGGCAUUCUCUGUGACAAGAGGGUGCCACAAAAGCUAAAAUUCAAGUUCUAUAGGGCGGCGGUUCGAUCCGCAAUGUUGUAUGGCGCUGAGUGUUGGCCGACUAAAAGGUGACAUGUUCAACAGUUAGGUGUGGCGGAGAUGCGUAUGUUGAGAUGGAUGUGUGAUCACAGGAGGAAGGAUCGAGUCCGGAAUGAUGAUAUACAGGAUAGAGUUGGGGUGGCACCAAUUGAAGAGAAGCUUGUCCAACAUCGUUUGUGAGGGUUGGGGCAUAUUCAGCGCAGGCCUCCGGAAGCUCCAGUGCAUAGCGGACGGCUAGAGCGUGCGGAGAAUGUCAAGAGAGGUCAGGGUAGAUCGAAUUUGACAUGGGAGGAGUCCGUUAAGAGAGACCUGAAGGAUUGGAGUAUCACCAAAAAACUAGUUGGACAGGGGUGCGUGGAAGCUUGCUAUCCAUGUGUCAGAGCCAUGAGUUGGUCGUGAGAUCUUAUGAGUUUCACCUCUAGCCUACCCCAACUUGUUUGGGACUAAAGGCUUUGUUUUUGUUGUUCCUUGCCGUUACCUCCAUUUAUUUUUGACCCUGCCCAAGAUUACUGGUUUUAUGUUAAUCUCUCUCAUCCCCGAUUCUUCUUCUUGGCUUAUGUAUGCUCUCACUUUCCUCCCUCCCCUACAACUCCAGUUUUGAGAUUUUGCUCAACAACUUCCUUCUGAUCACUAAUCUCUGGUUUUGGUCAGAAUUUGUUGAUUGUAUGUGCCCUUUUGUUCUGCUGAGAAUUGAAUUUGUAUGCUUGGUUUUAUUGUGUUAUGCAAGGUGCUUCUAACAAGUUAAAUGGAUGCACUGAUAUGUUGGUGCUUCCACAAUAUAGAUUUAGACAAUGUAAAAGUUAUUCACAUGUUCUUUCCAGCUGUAUCUGCAUAGGUAGCCAUCUUGUAGAAUUUGGGUAUACAUUCCACUCUUGUUCUUUUCUGAAUAUAAUUCACAUGUAGAAAACCAAUAUUGUCAGCUACGUGCCCUGAAUAAUCCCAUAUGCUCAUUGGAGUAACUAAAGGAAUCUGUUAACCGGUUCAUGGUUUCUGUAGCAAGAAAGAAGACAAAUCUUGAUUUUUUUAUGAAGGGGUGGAAGGUAUAUUUCUGUAUUUAAGAGUUUACUUAUUGAUACAGUUUAUCAAUAGGAUCUAUUGACAGUCUCUUAUGAGCGCCUUUGGUGGUAACUAUUUAUGGGUAAUGAGCUAUUUCUUGUGAUGCAAGUACCAUAACUUAUUCCCAUCGCAAGAUAUGUUUAAAUGCGAAUACUCCAUACAUGUUGAAGCUUUAAGCCUCUUGUUUGCCAUGUUGUUUAGGUAUCAAGAGCCUUUUCUUUUGAAGAUACAGAUUGAUUCAAAAGGCUUCAGCUGUGGAUUUGUUGGUGUAGUUUAUUUUAGCUGGGGUGACCAGUUGGUUUGCAGACAACGAUGGAUUCCGCUGAUGGUUGAGCAAGUAGGUGGGAACGUCGCAUGGUGUGUGCUGCACAUUCCGGCAGUAUUCAAUUCUUCCUCGAAAGCCGCCGUCAUCUCGGCUGUUUUCGAGGACGAGACGUCGAGGCCCAAAGCUGCUGCCGCCGUUGUUGCCCUGGUGGCGACAUUCAUCCAGCGCCGAUGCGUGAUAAACUGUCCAGAACCUCACUAGACGCUGAAAUGGAUUAGAUAAAUCUGUUGCUUCCAUCCAGAAUAGUUACUUUGUGUGGACUGCGUCUGGGCCUUUUGGUCAAAUGCCGGCAGUAUAGUUAUCCUGUCACACUGUAUGGAAGAGCGCAGCUGGCAAAGGGAGAAGACCCAAGACAAUACUGUAAGAUUUGCAGUACUGUAUGUUAUUAUGUUGUGUUCAGUGACACCGUGGAGUAACACAACGCAACUGUAUCGUUUUCUAUUUCUACUUCUGGAAAUCUCACAUUGAUCUGUAAGAAUAAUAGCAUGAAUUAGUACUAUUUUGGGACGUGCUUGCUACAAUGUCGCAACUGAGCGAGGCCGCAUGCCAAAGGUAUGGGCCGAGUAGGAGUGUAGGACAUGCCACUGUUUCCUCUGUAGCAACUGUUGCUUACCCCCUGCUUUUCUGUUCCUGUGUGAUCAAUCUGUCCAGUGACAUUUCUGGAGUAAAACCAUGCAAAUGCAGCGGGAUCUUGUUGUAAA